RNAcentral lists this unclassified non-coding RNA (438 nucleotides) under uncultured Bacillota bacterium. Its description in RNAcentral is "uncultured Firmicutes bacterium 16S-23S ribosomal RNA intergenic spacer". Lineage: Bacteria; Bacillati; Bacillota. The record is from RNAcentral.
GGGAGACAUACACUAGCACAAGAUGUUAGAUGUCACACUAGGUCGACACUUUGGUCACCUUUAUUGUUCAGUUUUGAGAGGUCAACUCUCAAAAGUUGGUAUUGACAAGCAGUAAAAUGCUUUAUAUACUUACUAAGCACUAUUUUCUAAGAAAAUCGAUGCAUAACAAGAAAAACGAAUGAGGCGAAGUCGAAGCGUAAUGGUAAUUACGUGAGACAAGCAGAAUGAGUUUGUCGAAGUUAGGUGCGAUUUUAUAGAAAAUAAAGAUGUUCUUUGAAAACUGCAUAGAAGAUAAUAAAUUAUUUAUGAUUUGGUCUCUUAGAGUUGACUCUAAGGGUUAGACCAAGCACAUAGAUUCUCUAAAUUAACUUAUAAGGUGAGAGCAUCCGAAAGGAUGACUCUAAAGCAAAAGACAUAACCAUAUGUCACUAUCAAGUA